Molecule: ribosomal RNA, 253 nt
Filed under: uncultured bacterium
Lineage: Bacteria
Description: partial 16S ribosomal RNA
Rfam family: Bacterial small subunit ribosomal RNA
Source: RNAcentral
UACGGGGGGGGCAAGCGUUGUUCGGAAUUACUGGGCGUAAAGGGCUCGUAGGCGGCCAACUAAGUCGGACGUGAAAUCCCCAGGCUCAACCUGGGAACUGCGUCCGAUACUGGAUGGCUUGAAUCCGGGAGAGGGAUGCAGAAUUCCAGGUGUAGCGGUGAAAUGCGUAGAUAUCUGGAGGAACACCGGUGGCGAAGGCGACAUCCUGGACCGGUAUUGACGCUGAGGCGCGAAAGCCAGGGGAGCAAACGGG